UACAGAGGGGGCAAGCGUUAUUCGGAAUUAUUGGGCGUAAAGGGCGCGUAGGCGGCCUGGCAAGUGGAAGGUGAAAUCCCUCGGCUUAACCGAGGAACUGCCCUCCAAACUGCUUGGCUUGAGACCGGGAGAGGUGAGUGGAAUUCCCAGUGUAGCGGUGAAAUUCGUAGAUAUUGGGAAGAACACCGGUGGCGAAGGCGGCGAGCUGGCCUGUUACUGACGCUGAGGCGCGACAGCGUGGGGAGCAAACAGG
This 253-nucleotide ribosomal RNA is filed under the name uncultured bacterium. RNAcentral describes it as "partial 16S ribosomal RNA". It matches the Rfam family "Bacterial small subunit ribosomal RNA", at positions 524 to 776 of the family's 1533-position model. The record is from RNAcentral.